UACGGAGGGGGCUAGCGUUGUUCGGAAUUACUGGGCGUAAAGCGCACGUAGGCGGCUUUGCAAGUCAGAGGUGAAAGCCCGGGGCUCAACCCCGGAAUUGCCUUUGAGACUGCAUCGCUAGAACGUCGGAGAGGUAAGUGGAAUUCCGAGUGUAGAGGUGAAAUUCGUAGAUAUUCGGAAGAACACCAGUGGCGAAGGCGACUUACUGGACGACUGUUGACGCUGAGGUGCGAAAGCGUGGGGAGCAAACAGG
This 253-nucleotide ribosomal RNA is filed under the name uncultured bacterium. RNAcentral's name for it is "partial 16S ribosomal RNA". It matches the Rfam family "Bacterial small subunit ribosomal RNA", at positions 524 to 776 of the family's 1533-position model. The record is from RNAcentral.